RNA transcript from Diospyros lotus (date-plum), 3781 nucleotides. It is a transcript of the gene named 2-phytyl-1,4-beta-naphthoquinone methyltransferase, chloroplastic, with no coding region annotated. Lineage: Eukaryota; Viridiplantae; Streptophyta; Magnoliopsida; Ericales; Ebenaceae. The record is from RefSeq and is a predicted model, not a curated record. The transcript is spliced from 6 exons.
UGGGCUAAUUCAUAGUAUUUUGUUAUGAAUUUUCUUAAUGCAAAACAUUUCUGAAAGGCUAUUACUUUUCUUCUACCUUCCUGUUUCUUGGUAGCAAUCUUGAAAAUCAUUUGAAGAAUAAGAUAAGAGGGAAGACUAAUGCCCGUUGUUUCAUAUAUGGCUGAUGUGAAUUGUAACUCAUAUAGGAAGCUUGAUAGUAUUUUUUUUUCCCUUUUUUAUUUCAAAUGAGGCAAAGACUUGAAUUUUAUGCUUUAGGACAUAAAAAGUAUUCUCUGUCAACAAGCUUUCUAUCUUAAUUAAAAAACUCUGCGUGCUAGACUUUGAGGGUGUCACAUUCCUAGGGUUACCUAGGGUGAGACUGGAAUUAGGUGAAAAUCCGAACAAGAGAAUUGAAAGGAGGGAGAUAAAUUAGCAGAAAGGGAGGGGAAAUCAGAGAGAACCAAGAGAGGGAUAGAGAGAACUAGAAGGAAAGGAUUUCAAUCUCAUUUCAUAUCACAUCCCAUCCUCUUACAAGUAGCCUUUUUAUAGGCAUAGUUGGUUGCUAACUGAAUUCAUAACAACACCUAUGUGCGCUCCUAACAAAUUAUAAAAUAUCUCCUAACAAACUAUUAUAACCCUUACGAUAUUGCUCCUAGGAUCAUGAUGACAGAGGGUUGUGUUAGAUUUAUUUUAAAGUAUAGGUCAGUUGGAGGAUUCAGUGGAGAUAAACUAAUGAGGACCUUACAAUUGUUGUGUGCAUGGUGCAGUACUCCUGGAGGUUGGACGUGGUUAGAGCACUAGAGGGAAUCUAUUAGUUGGUCCACGAGCUGUUCAUGGGCCUUAUCUAUUUGAUGCUUUGGUUCUUAUUUCCUAGCUAAUAAUUUGGCCACUUCCUCAUUGUUUUAGGAAAAGUGGUUAUUCUAUUUAUUAUUUAAACUUAAGUAUCUGCAAGUGGAAAUUAUGUUGAAUAAUAAUCAGAUUUCCCUCCUACAUAUCUUCUUUUCUCUCUCUCUCUCUCUUCUACUUUCUUUCACCAUUCACUUUCCUUAAGUAUUAGUCUGGUGCACACAUUAUUUUUGGUAUCAGAGCACAGUCAUGGCAACCUGUAGGAAAUUAAACGCGGAGUUUCACGAUGAGGUCCAGGAAGUCACCACCUGGCAUGAAGCUAACUUUGACCACAUGAACACCACCCUCCAAACUAACUAUUAUGACCAAGUUACAGUCCCUUCAAGUUGCCCAAGCAAAACACACUAGUGAAGAAAACAUCAAUUCUUUUGGCCAUGGAGAAUCAUCCCACCACCAAGUGCCACACAACUUUGAUAGUUCCUACACUCCAGGGGCUACUGAGCGGAGCCAUACCAGCCUCAAGCUAUCCUUCCUGAAAUUCAAUGGCAAAGACCACAUGGGGUGGAUUUAUAGGACCGAACAAUGUUUCGAGUUCAAGGGGGUCGAAUCAUCACAACAAGUGCAAUCGGCACCUUUCCACUUGGAGGGGGUGGCGCUACAAUGGCACCGCUAGUUGAGCAAGUUCAAAGGGCCUUUUUCAUGGCUGGAAUUUACCAAGGCUGUUCUUCACAGGUUCGGAGCAACAGCUUAUGAGGAUCCUUUGGAGGCACUCGCGAGGCUCAAGCAAGUUACUACGGUGGAGACAUAACAAGCCGAAUUCGAAAAGUUAUCCCAAAGAAUGGAUGACUUACCUGAACAUUACUUGGUGGGAUGUUUUAUUGCAGGAUUACGAGAUGAGAUCUGCUUGAAUGUGAAGGUGAAACAACCGAAGUUGCUAUCUAAUGCCGUAGGAGUGGCGCGAUUAAUCGAAGAGAAAAACCAGCUACAGAAGAGACCCAACAUAGGGUCACGGGCACCUUUGUCGAGUCAAGCACAACGACCCAUAACAGAUUCCUUGCUUGGAAUUCUUGGCCCUCCUUCGGCUACCAAACAACUUCCACAAUUGUCAUCACCUAUCAAAUGCAUUACCAGUCAGGAAGCUCGAUAUCGACGCACGAAGGGGCUUUGCUUCUAUUGUGAUGAAAAAUUUGUGCCUAGCCACUGCUGCCAGCGACCCCAAUUAUUUAUGAUAGAGGAUCCGAUGGUACAAGAGGAGACCGACCCUGAAAAAGAGCAGGCAAGUGACGACCCCACACUAGAAAUUUCUUUUCAUGCAAUCACUGGAACUACGCACCCCUAGACCAUGCGAGUCAACGGGCAAUUGCAGAACCACCACAUCACUAUUCUCAUCGGCAACGGGAGUACGCACAAUUUCCUCGACCAAACAGUGGGCAAGCGACUCGGCCUACUUGUGGAGUGCAGCAAACCUCUCCAGGUUGUGGUGGCUAAUAGGGAGAAGAUUGAUUGCUCGGGCCAGUGCAAGGGACUUUCCUUGACCAUUCAUAAUUGUUCCAUACGGGCUGAUUUCUAUUUCUUAGCAUUAGCGGCUUGUCAAGCAGUGCUCGGGGUGCAAUGGUUGGAGACGCUCGGUCCCAUUGAAGCUAAUUAUCGUGACAUGACCAUGAGCUUUGAAAAGGACGGCAGGCUACACAAGUUACAAGGAAUACGCAAGGGGCCAUCUAAGGCGUUGAGAGAUAAAGAACUGCUGAACCUAGAAGGCGCGGGGUUUUUUUUCCAGAUAAUUUUGGACCCUCCAACAUAUAGCCCACAAGAGUUGGCCGGCGACCUCAACGAGCUCCACAUGGAAUUCAACCAGGUGAUUGGUCUUGACUUCUCAAAGGAGCAAUUAUCACUUGCUUCAUCUCGGCAACAUUUAUACUCAAAGGCUUGCUACAACAACAUUAAGUGGGUUGAAGGCAAUGCACUUGAUUUACCAUUUUCUGAUUGUCAUUUUGAUGCUGUUACAAUGGGUUAUGGGUUGCGUAAUGUCAUUGAUAAACGCAAAGCUAUGGAGGAGAUAUAUCGCAUUCUGAAACCAGGCUCAAAGGCAUCUGUCCUGGACUUCAACAAAAGCACCAACACGCUUCUUGCCUCAAUAGAGGAAUGGAUGCUUGAGAACAUAGUUGUUCCAGUGGCUUCUGGUUAUGGUCUUGCGGAGGAGUACAAAUACUUAAAAACCUCAAUUCAGGAAUUUUUAACAGGGAAGGAGUUAGAGGAGCUUGGUAUGGAAGUGGGAUUUACAAAUGCGAAGCAUUAUGAGAUUGGUGGAGGACUCAUGGGGAACUUAGUAUCCACACGAUAGAUGCACUUCUUGAUUUUUGCAGUUCCUGAGAAUUAUGUCACCAGGAAGUAUAAAGUUAGCGCUUUGAUGCUUUUCAUUGAUGUCCUUUUGAAAUCUAUGUCUAAGGUUACUGUCUCCAAAUAUGUACUUUUGAGACAGUAGACCUCCCUUUUUCUUAUUGUUCCAUUGCUUCCCCUUCAUUUCUUUCCAUGUUUUUCUUCUACUUCAUUUUCUUUUUCUUCUUCCAUUUUCUGUUGGCAACUAGAGCUUCGGAGGCAGAGUCCAGCUAUUUCUCUACUGUUGGAACGACUUCUUCAGGCAAAUUUCUUCUUGCACUCUCCUUGUAAUUACAGUGCAAGCUCUCUUAUUCAUUGUAAAGGAAAGACUGUUAUUAGGGGGUGAGUCCAGUAGGAUUUCAGCCCAAGGUUAGGGGUGUACAGAGAUGCAUCCUACCUUGAAGAUCUUUAGUAGCAUUUUGGAGAGGCUUGUAAUGAAAUAUGUUUAUUUUGUUAAUUUACACUAGAGCCUCUAUUUAUUUUGUAUGGCCUUCGAGUCUAGACUUAUGAGGUAUUGAAAAUGUAAUCGAACCUUAACUUAGUUUCCGCUGCUAUUAAUGAAAUGAGUUGUUUGUUUCAA